CACGUAGGGGGCGAGCGUUGUCCGGAAUUAUUGGGCGUAAAGAGCUCGUAGGCGGUUCGGUAAGUCGGGUGUGAAAACUCAGGGCUCAACCCUGAGACGCCACCCGAUACUGCUGUGACUAGAGUCCGGUAGGGGAGCGUGGAAUUCCUGGUGUAGCGGUGAAAUGCGCAGAUAUCAGGAGGAACACCAGCGGCGAAGGCGGCGCUCUGGGCCGGUACUGACGCUGAGGAGCGAAAGCGUGGGGA
This 245-nucleotide ribosomal RNA is filed under the name uncultured Aquihabitans sp. Its description in RNAcentral is "partial 16S ribosomal RNA". It matches the Rfam family "Bacterial small subunit ribosomal RNA", at positions 524 to 767 of the family's 1533-position model. The record is from RNAcentral. Lineage: Bacteria; Bacillati; Actinomycetota; Acidimicrobiia; Acidimicrobiales; Iamiaceae.